RNAcentral lists this ribosomal RNA (468 nucleotides) under uncultured bacterium. RNAcentral's name for it is "partial 16S ribosomal RNA". It matches the Rfam family "Bacterial small subunit ribosomal RNA", at positions 28 to 507 of the family's 1533-position model. The record is from RNAcentral.
GACGAACGCUGGCGGCGUGCUUAACACAUGCAAGUCGAACGGAAAGGCCCUGGUUUUGUGGGGUGCUCGAGUGGCGAACGGGUGAGUAACACGUGAGUAACCUGCCUUUGACUUUGGGAUAACUUCAGGAAACUGGGGCUAAUACCGGAUAGGAGCUCCUGCUGCAUGGUGGGGGUUGGAAAGUUUCGGCGGUUGGGGAUGGACUCGCGGCUUAUCAGCUUGUUGGUGGGGUAGUGGCUUACCAAGGCUUUGACGGGUAGCCGGCCUGAGAGGGUGACCGGCCACAUUGGGACUGAGAUACGGCCCAGACUCCUACGGGAGGCAGCAGUGGGGAAUAUUGCACAAUGGGCGGAAGCCUGAUGCAGCAACGCCGCGUGCGGGAUGACGGCCUUCGGGUUGUAAACCGCUUUCGCCUGUGACGAAGCGUGAGUGACGGUAAUGGGUAAAGAAGCACCGGCUAACUACGUG